AAAAUGAUAUUUACCCCUUAUUUUGUUAGUGAAUAAAUGCAUAAUUGUAAUUAAUGGUAUUUUAGUAACUUAAAACAAUUCAUUGUGAUUACAAAAUAAAAUCAUAAAAUGAACACAUCAAUAAGAAUAUAACUCAUUUCGAUUAUCAUUCUUACAACUCAAAUAAAUAACUUAUUUCUGAUUUUUCAUUUUUCAUUCCUCCAAUUCUAAAGAAGUAUACGCACUACCAAAUUUUAGGACAUUCCAAUCUCGAUCGGAAUCUUCAAACAUCUCGAAUCCUAUCCCAAUUUAGUCCCGAAUCCCAAUGAAAAUUCAAAGAAUUAUGCCAACUCUAAUGCCAAGAAACAUGCUGCAUGGGUUUAAGGCAUUUUAACUCGUAUAAGAGAACAAUUAAUUUAUGAAUGCAGAAAAGCAUUUUUAACUCGAAUGAAAGAACAACAAAUUUAUGAAUGCAUUACAUGUAUCGUGUCAUUGCUAUUUCGAAAAUUAAAAUCUUCCUUUUAUUAUUAUAUUUGAAUUGAUUAUUAAUUUAGGGUCACCCUAUGUUACAUUGAGUGUAACAUACACACACUCACAGCAACAAUAACAAAUCCUAUUAUUAGCACUGUUGCUGUGAGUGUGUGUAUAUUACACUCAAUGUAACAUAGCAGUGGCCAUUAAUUUAUUGUCAAAGGCGUCGUAGGUAGAUUAACUCUAGGAGAGAAAUUUGUAUGGGCCAACUGUCACCGCCUUACGCACAAGCUUGCCGCAUCACAAAGAAAAGUCGUGUGACACCAACUAUCGUAGGACUAGCCACUCAGGUAAUGUCAUUUGACAAAUUAAAUGAAUCUCACGGUAGAAUCCACUAUCUUUUAUAUUAAUUUUGUAGGUCCUACCAUAUUACAUAGACUAAGAUAUUAUUUAUUUU
RNAcentral lists this long non-coding RNA (907 nucleotides) under Citrus x clementina. RNAcentral's name for it is "Citrus clementina (C. clementina) long non-coding RNA (CCLE_LNC005595)". Lineage: Eukaryota; Viridiplantae; Streptophyta; Magnoliopsida; Sapindales; Rutaceae. The record is from RNAcentral.